This is a long non-coding RNA of Pezoporus occidentalis (night parrot), 656 nucleotides long. RefSeq lists it as uncharacterized. The record is from RefSeq and is a predicted model, not a curated record. The transcript is spliced from 2 exons. NCBI's taxonomy places the organism in Eukaryota, Metazoa, Chordata, Aves, Psittaciformes, Psittacidae.
GUUGGACCCUGAGGUUUGCCUUAAAUAAAAUAAUUGUUUUUCCUGCUUUUCCUAACUGCAGUGGUUCUGGUCCCAGCAGAAGUGUCUGAGCUAAUCAUAUAAGGAUGUAAUAGCUCUGGACUCCCCUUCGAGAGCUCUGUGGCUCCCUCGCCUCUGUUCCACCCCUUGUGGGGAAAUUUAUUAAGGAAUUUAAUAUUAUUUGGAAAGCUGAACACAAGAAUAUAUUUCUUAUCCCCUGGGCACCAUUGCAGUCACAUAGUGACAUUAGCUUUCCUGUCCACAGGCCCUGCCAAGUACUUGCCUGUCCCACUGCUCCAGCACAUUUUAAACACUUCAGUUUUAUGGUUUCCUUUUCAUUUAUAUCUCCCCGUGAUACUUCCCUCCUUCUUCCCAGGCAUCUGCAGUCAUGCAAAGAAGCUGGAGAACACCAGUUCCCAGAGGGAGGAGCCUGCUUGAAACACCAAGCAACAGCCUGUGUGUUGGUUCAGGCAAACAACCAACAGCAAAUGAAGGACUGCAAAUAGCCACAAAUAACAGGACUCCAGGAGAAUUCCAGAUGGAAGAGAUGGAAUGAUGACUGCCUUCAGAUUUGUGACCCACAUCCAAAUUGUUCUAAACUGGAAUGGUGGAAAUGAUAAUAAACAAAGGUGUUAAUU